UACAGAGGUCCCAAGCGUUGUUCGGAUUCAUUGGGCGUAAAGGGUGCGUAGGCGGCGCGGUAAGUCGGGUGUGAAAUCUCGGAGCUUAACUCCGAAACUGCAUUCGAUACUGCCGUGCUUGAGGACUGGAGAGGAGAAUGGAAUUCCCGGUGUAGCGGUGAAAUGCGCAGAUAUCGGGAGGAACACCGGUGGCGAAGGCGGUUCUCUGGGCCUUACCUGACACUGAGGAGCGAAAGCGUGGGGAGCGAACAGG
Molecule: ribosomal RNA, 253 nt
Filed under: uncultured bacterium
Lineage: Bacteria
Description: partial 16S ribosomal RNA
Rfam family: Bacterial small subunit ribosomal RNA
Source: RNAcentral